Molecule: long non-coding RNA, 1204 nt
Organism: Apis dorsata (giant honeybee)
Lineage: Eukaryota; Metazoa; Arthropoda; Insecta; Hymenoptera; Apidae
Exons: 2
Source: RefSeq, a predicted model, not a curated record
UAUAACAUUCGUGAAACUUUGAUCGAUAAGAUUUCUUCAACUUUCGUUCAAGCAUUUAUCUUAUCGCUUAAAUAAAAUUUCAAAUUUUUCUUUCACGACAAUGAUUAAAAUUCUCUCUAAGAUUUUCUCAUUAUCGAACACAACCAUUUAUGUAAUCCACGUAUUUCUCCCAAGAAUCUUCUUUAUUACACAUGUUCUAUCUUUCCUUAAGAUCUUUUCUUAUUCGUAACUUUUAUUUGCGAAGAAAAUAUAUUUUAUUCACUGCACUAAUUAUCUCUACAUUUCAACUUUCCUUCAUUCAUGCCUCCAUUCUCCAAAUAUCUUUUCCCCCCUCAUCCAAAAACCUAUCUCAAUAUUCUCUUCUUCCUCACUAUACGCACUUUCAUCAACAGUUCAUCAUAACGUUCACACACAACUAUUUCCAAAAAGAUCUAUACUUCGAUCUUCGAACCAAUUUUCAUCCUUCCAUCACCAAACAUCUUCCAACAACUUUCAACUCGUCUAUCUUAUCAAAGCUAUCCCAAUAUGCCAAUAUUUCCUUCUUCCUCCUCCUCGCUAUACACAGUUUCAUCAAUUACAACGAACGACGACGACGACAACGACGAAAACGACGUGUCAACAGCGUUAGCUAACCGCGGAAAGGCAGCUCGCUGUCGCAGAUACCGUAUCGCCUGAUAACACCCCACCCGAGCGUGUCCAAGUUACGCUUGGGACAAGCGAGAGGGCCCGAUAAAGCGUUUUAUUGCGGUCGACGCAAUCAGCCGGGUAAUCUGGUGAUCGUCGACGCCGAUUCGGACGCAUGCUGGCGGCGAUACACACCCGCGACGCCUCUCUUCUGCCUCCUCGGCGGCGUCAAGGCUGCUGCGACACCUUUUACUCUCGAUGGGUUUCCAGUUUCGCGGAACUGGAGGGAUUAAAAGAGGCGUAAAAAGCAAACAGAAGAAUGCACGAUUUACAUCUUAAAAGCGACAUGAUUGAACAUGUGACUCACCUUUCUGUUGGCCCUGUUGAAUAACUGGAGGAUUCUUCGCCUGAUUCAACACUGUUGAAAGAAGUACAAUUCAUCUUUCUUUCUUCCCAUUGCGACCGAACUUCGUCUUGCACUCUUCGUUUCAAUUCUUCUACUCUUCGUCUUUCUUCCGAAAUUACUUGGCUGCCUAAUAGAGAAAACAUGCCAAUUUGAUUUAUAAUAAAAAAUAAAAUA